AUAAAGUUUUAUUUUAGCUUAUAAGUUUGUUAUUAAUUUAAUUUAUAUGUAAAUUUUUGUAAGAAUAUUUAUUUAUUUAAAUAAUAAUAAAAAAAUUAUUAAUUCGCAAUAAUUAAUAUUAUUAAUUAAAGAAAUUUAGAAAAAGUAAUAUUAAAAAGUAUUGACUAAAUUUGUGCCAGCAGUCGCGGUUAUACAAAUAAUACAAAUAAAUUUUAUUUAUUUAAGUUAAAUAAUUUAAUUAAAAAAAAAGUAAAUUUAUUAGGUGAAAUUAUUAAAUUUAUAUUUUUUUUAUUAAAAAUAAUUGAAGCUUAAAAAUUUUAUUAAUAAACUAGGAUUAGAUACCCUAUUAUAGAAAAUGUAAAUUUAAAAAUUAAGGUAGUAAUAGAUAUAUUCUUGAAACUUAAAAAAUUUGGCGGUAUUUUAGUCUAUUCAGAGGAACCUGUUUUAUAAUCGAUAAUCCACGAUGGACCUUACUUAUUUUAGUUAACAGUUUAUAUACCGUCGUUAUUAGAAUAUUUUAUAAAAAUGUUAAUAUUCUAAAUUUAAUAAAAUAAAAUAUAUCAGAUCAAGGUGUAGCUUAUAUUUAAGUAAAAAUGGGUUACAAUAAAAUUAUUUAAAUGAAUAUAAAUUUGAAAUAUUUAUUGAAAGUGGAUUUGAAAGUAAAAUUAUAAAGAUUAAUAAUUUGAUUUUAGCUCUAAAAUAUGUACACAUCGCCCGUCACUCUUAUUAUUAAGGUAAGAUAAGUCGUAACAUAGUAGAUGUACUGGAAAGUGUAUCUAGAAUGC
RNAcentral lists this non-coding RNA (785 nucleotides) under Zenillia sp. 2 HNL-2023a. The record is from RNAcentral. Lineage: Eukaryota; Metazoa; Arthropoda; Insecta; Diptera; Tachinidae.